This 253-nucleotide ribosomal RNA is filed under the name uncultured bacterium. RNAcentral's name for it is "partial 16S ribosomal RNA". It matches the Rfam family "Bacterial small subunit ribosomal RNA", at positions 524 to 776 of the family's 1533-position model. The record is from RNAcentral.
UACGGAGGGUGCAAGCGUUAAUCGGAAUUACUGGGCGUAAAGCGCGCGUAGGUGGUUCGUUAAGUUGGAUGUGAAAUCCCCGGGCUCAACCUGGGAACUGCAUCCAAAACUGGCGAGCUAGAGUAUGGUAGAGGGUGGUGGAAUUUCCUGUGUAGCGGUGAAAUGCGUAGAUAUAGGAAGGAACACCAGUGGCGAAGGCGACCACCUGGACUGAUACUGACACUGAGGUGCGAAAGCGUGGGGAGCAAACAGG